RNAcentral lists this ribosomal RNA (303 nucleotides) under uncultured bacterium. RNAcentral's name for it is "partial 16S ribosomal RNA". It matches the Rfam family "Bacterial small subunit ribosomal RNA", at positions 507 to 809 of the family's 1533-position model. The record is from RNAcentral.
AGCAGUAGCCGCGGUAAAACGUAGGUGGCAAGCGUUGUCCGGAAUUAUUGGGCGUAAAGCGCGCGCAGGCGGAUAGGUCAGUCUGUCUUAAAAGUUCGGGGCUUAACCCCGUGAUGGGAUGGGAACUGCCAAUCUAGAGUAUCGGAGAGGAAAGUGGAAUUCCUAGUGUAGCGGUGAAAUGCGUAGAUAUUAGGAAGAACACCAGUGGCGAAGGCGACUUUCUGGACGAAAACUGACGCUGAGGCGCGAAAGCCAGGGGAGCGAACGGGAUUAGAUACCCGCGUAGUCCCUGUCUCUUAUACA